CCUACGGGCGGCAGCAGUGGGGAAUAUUGGACAAUGGGGGGAACCCUGAUCCAGCCAUGCCGCGUGUGUGAAGAAGGCCCUCGGGUUGUAAAGCACUUUCAGUGAGGAAGAACGCCUGGUGGUUAAUACCCAUCAGGAAAGACAUCACUCACAGAAGAAGCACCGGCUAACUCCGUGCCAGCAGCCGCGGUAAUACGGAGGGUGCGAGCGUUAAUCGGAAUUACUGGGCGUAAAGCGCGCGUAGGUGGCUUGAUAAGCCGGUUGUGAAAGCCCCGGGCUCAACCUGGGAACGGCAUCCGGAACUGUCAAGCUAGAGUGCAGGAGAGGAAGGUAGAAUUCCCGGUGUAGCGGUGAAAUGCGUAGAGAUCGGGAGGAAUACCAGUGGCGAAGGCGGUCUUCUGGACUGACACUGACACUGAGGUGCGAAAGCGUGGGUAGCAAACAGGAUUAGAUACCCGAGUAGUC
This 465-nucleotide ribosomal RNA is filed under the name Vreelandella stevensii. Its description in RNAcentral is "partial 16S ribosomal RNA". It matches the Rfam family "Bacterial small subunit ribosomal RNA", at positions 338 to 795 of the family's 1533-position model. Lineage: Bacteria; Pseudomonadati; Pseudomonadota; Gammaproteobacteria; Oceanospirillales; Halomonadaceae. The record is from RNAcentral.